Molecule: ribosomal RNA, 466 nt
Filed under: uncultured bacterium
Lineage: Bacteria
Description: partial 16S ribosomal RNA
Rfam family: Bacterial small subunit ribosomal RNA
Source: RNAcentral
GAUGAACGCUGACAGAAUGCUUAACACAUGCAAUUCACUUGAAAUUGGGGUUUUAAAUUAGGUUUGGGUGGCGGACGGGUGAGUAAAGCGUUAAGAACUUGCCUCACAGCUAGGGACAACAUUUGGAAACGAAUGCUAAUACCUAAUAUUAUGAUAAUAGGGCAUCCUAUAAUUAUGAAAGCUAUAAGCGCUGUGAGAGAGCUUUGCGUGCCAUUAGCUAGUUGGAGAGGUAACGGCUCACCAAGGCGAUGAUGGGUAGCCGGCCUGAGAGGGUGAUCGGCCACAAGGGGACUGAGACACGGCCCUUACUCCUACGGGAGGCAGCAGUGGGGAAUAUUGGACAAUGGACCGAGAGUCUGAUCCAGCAAUUCUGUGUGCACGAUGAAGUUUUUCGGAAUGUAAAGUGCUUUCAGUUGGGAAGAAACAAAUGACGGUACCAACAGAAGAAGUGACGGCUAAAUACGUG